RNAcentral lists this ribosomal RNA (250 nucleotides) under uncultured bacterium. Its description in RNAcentral is "partial 16S ribosomal RNA". It matches the Rfam family "Bacterial small subunit ribosomal RNA", at positions 524 to 773 of the family's 1533-position model. The record is from RNAcentral.
UACGGAGGGUGCGAGCGUUAAUCGGAAUUAUUGGGCGUAAAGGGUGCGUAGGUGGUUGUAUAAGUUAUCUGUGAAAACCCUGGGCUUAACCUGGGGGAGAGAGAUAAGACUGUGUGACUAGAGUAUGGGAGAGGGUAGUGGAAUUUCCGGUGUAGCGGUGAAAUGCGUAGAGAUCGGAAGGAACACCGGUGGCGAAGGCGGCUACCUGGCCUAAUACUGACACUGAGGCACGAAAGCGUGGGGAGCAAAC